RNAcentral lists this ribosomal RNA (658 nucleotides) under uncultured Bacteroidota bacterium. RNAcentral's name for it is "bacterial SSU rRNA". It matches the Rfam family "Bacterial small subunit ribosomal RNA", at positions 397 to 1052 of the family's 1533-position model. Lineage: Bacteria; Pseudomonadati; Bacteroidota. The record is from RNAcentral.
CCGCGUGCAGGAAGAAUGCCCUAUGGGGCUUGUAAACUGCUUUUAUUUAGGAAUAAACCCCUCUUACGUGUAGAGGGCUGAAUGUACUAAACGAAUAAGCACCGGCUAACUCCGUGCCAGCAGCCGCGGUAAUACGGAGGGUGCAAGCGUUAUCCGGAAUCAUUGGGUUUAAAGGGUCCGCAGGCGGAUGUAUAAGUCAGUGGUGAAAUCCUGCAGCUUAACUGCAGAACUGCCAUUGAUACUGUACAUCUUGAAUUCGGUCGAAGUGGGCGGAAUGUGUAGUGUAGCGGUGAAAUGCAUAGAUAUUACACAGAACACCGAUAGCGAAGGCAGCUCACUAGGCCUGGAUUGACGCUCAGGGACGAAAGCGUGGGGAUCAAACAGGAUUAGAUACCCUGGUAGUCCACGCUGUAAACGAUGAUUACUCGUUUUCGGCGAUAUACAGUCGGAGACUAAGCGAAAGUGAUAAGUAGUCCACCUGGGGAGUACGAUCGCAAGGUUGAAACUCAAAGGAAUUGACGGGGGCCCGCACAAGCGGUGGAGCAUGUGGUUUAAUUCGAUGAUACGCGAGGAACCUUACCAGGGCUUAAAUGCAGAGCGAAUAGUUUGGAAUCAGCACUAGCCUUCCGGCCGAUCUGCAAAGGUGCUGCAUGGCUGU